UACGGAGGGUGCAAUCGUUAUCCGGAAUCACUGGGUUUAAAGGGUGCGUAGGCGGCUGUAUCAGUCAGAGGUGAAAGCCCGGAGCUUAACUUCGGAACUGCCUUUGAUACUGUAUAGCUUGAAAUAGGUUGAGGUCAGCGGAAUGUUGCAUGUAGCGGUGAAAUGCAUAGAUAUGCCAUAGAACACCAAUUGCGAAGGCAGCUGGCUGGACCUUAUUUGACGCUGAGGCACGAAAGCGUGGGGAGCGAACAGG
Molecule: ribosomal RNA, 253 nt
Filed under: uncultured bacterium
Lineage: Bacteria
Description: partial 16S ribosomal RNA
Rfam family: Bacterial small subunit ribosomal RNA
Source: RNAcentral